UACGUAGGGGGCUAGCGUUGUCCGGAUUUAUUGGGCGUAAAGAGCGUGUAGGCGGCCAGAUAGGUCUGCUGUGAAAACUCGAGGCUCAACCUCGAGAUGUCGGCGGAAACCAUUUGGCUAGAGUCCGGAAGAGGAAAGUGGAAUUCCUGGUGUAGCGGUGAAAUGCGCAGAUAUCAGGAAGAACACCCGUGGCGAAGGCGGCUUUCUGGGACGGUACUGACGCUGAGAUGCGAAAGCGUGGGGGAGCGAACAGG
RNAcentral lists this ribosomal RNA (254 nucleotides) under uncultured bacterium. Its description in RNAcentral is "partial 16S ribosomal RNA". It matches the Rfam family "Bacterial small subunit ribosomal RNA", at positions 524 to 776 of the family's 1533-position model. The record is from RNAcentral.